AUAUUAAGUAAAAUUUAAGACAAUUAAGUUAUAUUAAGACAAUGUCUUAAUCAUAAUAUAUAUUUUAUUUAUUUGAAUGGAAAGUUUUUUAGUUUGUUGUGGAACUAGACUAGAAAUUACCUAAUAAGCUUCUUAUAACUUGUGUAAUGUGUUUCUUUUACGAAUUUGUAUAUUGGUAUAAUCAUAUCAUGGUAUUCCUACAAUACUAUAACUAACACUGACUCUCAUAAGUUUGAGUCUCAAGUCACAAAAAAGGGCCAACUCUCACGUGUUAGCGGAAAGUUACCAAAAUAUGUUAAGGACUUAAUUCAGGGAUAAUGUUGCUAAACGAUUUACAGUCGAUAAUCUUUCGAAAGCAGAAAAACUCAGGUUAGCAUCAAAUAGAAAGUUAGCGCAAUUUCUGGUAUUUGUGUGUCAAACAAAGAAUACGCGAAUUAUUUGAGAUAUGAUUGAAAUUUGCAAAGAAAGUAAAAAUCAAAGUAGUUUCAUUCUAAGUUAUUGUACAUAAUUUUAAAAUUUUUGGAAUAGAAGUGAUGCAAUGUUUAUUUA
Molecule: non-coding RNA, 549 nt
Organism: Hydra vulgaris (swiftwater hydra)
Lineage: Eukaryota; Metazoa; Cnidaria; Hydrozoa; Anthoathecata; Hydridae
Source: RefSeq, a predicted model, not a curated record